Molecule: ribosomal RNA, 1381 nt
Filed under: uncultured bacterium
Lineage: Bacteria
Description: 16S ribosomal RNA
Rfam family: Bacterial small subunit ribosomal RNA
Source: RNAcentral
UUCGCCCUUAGAGUUUGAUCCUGGCUCAGGAUGAACGCUGGCGGCGUGCUUAACACAUGCAAGUCGAACGAUUGAAGCUGGAGCUUGCUCCGGCCGAUUUAGUGGCGGACGGGUGAGUAACGCGUGGGUAACCUGCCUCAUACAGGGGGAUAGCAGUUGGAAACGACUGGUAAAACCGCAUAAGCGCACGGUGUCGCAUGACACAGUGUGAAAACACUCCGGUGGUAUGAGAUGGACCCGCGUCUGAUUAGCUAGUUGGUGAGGUAACGGCCCACCAAGGCGACGAUCAGUAGCCGGCCUGAGAGGGUGAACGGCCACAUUGGGACUGAGACACGGCCCAAACUCCUACGGGAGGCAGCAGUGGGGAAUAUUGCACAAUGGGGGAAACCCUGAUGCAGCGACGCCGCGUGAGUGAUGAAGUAUUUCGGUAUGUAAAGCUCUAUCAGCAGGGAAGAUAAUGACGGUACCUGACUAAGAAGCACCGGCUAAAUACGUGCCAGCAGCCGCGGUAAUACGUAUGGUGCAAGCGUUAUCCGGAUUUACUGGGUGUAAAGGGUGCGUAGGUGGCAAGGCAAGUCUGAAGUGAAAAUCCGGGGCUCAACCCCGGAACUGCUUUGGAAACUGUUUAGCUGGAGUACAGGAGAGGUAAGUGGAAUUCCUAGUGUAGCGGUGGAAUGCGUAGAUAUCGGGAGGAACACCAGUGGCGAAGGCGACCUACUGGGCACCAACUGACGCUGAGGCUCGAAAGCAUGGGUAGCAAACAGGAUUAGAUACCCUGGUAGUCCAUGCCGUAAACGAUGAUUACUAGGUGUUGGAGGAUUGACCCCUUCAGUGCCGCAGUUAACACAAUAAGUAAUCCACCUGGGGAGUACGACCGCAAGGUUGAAACUCAAAGGAAUUGACGGGGGCCCGCACAAGCAGUGGAGUAUGUGGUUUAAUUCGAAGCAACGCGAAGAACCUUACCAGGUCUUGACAUCCGAUGCAUAGCUUAGAGAUAAGUGAAGUCCUUCGGGACAUCGAGACAGGUGGUGCAUGGUUGUCGUCAGCUCGUGUCGUGAGAUGUUGGGUUAAGUCCCGCAACGAGCGCAACCCUUAUUGCCAGUUACUACGCAAGAGGACUCUGGCGAGACUGCCGUUGACAAAACGGAGGAAGGUGGGGAUGACGUCAAAUCAUCAUGCCCUUUAUGACCUGGGCUACACACGUACUACAAUGGCGUUUAACAAAGAGAAGCAAGACCGCGAGGUGGAGCAAAACUCAAAAACAACGUCUCAGUUCAGAUUGCAGGCUGCAACUCGCCUGCAUGAAGUCGGAAUUGCUAGUAAUCGCGGAUCAGCAUGCCGCGGUGAAUACGUUCCCGGGCCUUGCACUCACCGCCCGUCA